CCUACGGGAGGCAGCAGUGAGGAAUAUUGGUCAAUGGGCGAGAGCCUGAACCAGCCAAGUCGCGUGAAGGAUGACGGACCUACGGGUUGUAAACUUCUUUUGUCAGGGAGCAAUUGAGUCCACGUGUGGUCUUAGCGAGAGUACCUGAAGAAAAAGCAUCGGCUAACUCCGUGCCAGCAGCCGCGGUAAUUCGGAGGAUGCGAGCGGUAUUCGGAUUUAUGGGGUUUAAAGGGUGCGUAGGCGGAAUAUCAAGUCAGCGGUAAAAAUUCGGGGCUCAACCCCGUCGUGCCGUUGAGACUGAUGUUCUUGAGUGGGCGAGUAGUAUGCGGAAUGCGUGGUGUAGCGGUGAAAUGCAUAGAUAUCACGCAGAACUCCGAUUGCGAAGGCAGCAUACCGGCGCCCAACUGACGCUGAAGCACGAAAGCGUGGGUAUCGAACAGGAUUAGAUACCCCGGUAGUC
RNAcentral lists this ribosomal RNA (460 nucleotides) under uncultured bacterium. RNAcentral's name for it is "partial 16S ribosomal RNA". It matches the Rfam family "Bacterial small subunit ribosomal RNA", at positions 338 to 795 of the family's 1533-position model. The record is from RNAcentral.